CGGGGCGUGGCGCAGUUUGGUAGCGCGCUUGAAUGGGGUUCAAGAGGUCGCAAGUUCAAUUCUUGUCGCUCCGACCA
This 77-nucleotide transfer RNA is filed under the name Clostridia bacterium. RNAcentral describes it as "tRNA-Pro". It matches the Rfam family "tRNA". Rfam says of the family: Transfer RNA (tRNA) molecules are approximately 80 nucleotides in length. Their secondary structure includes four short double-helical elements and three loops (D, anti-codon, and T loops). The record is from RNAcentral. Lineage: Bacteria; Bacillati; Bacillota; Clostridia.